UCGUACAACCGAGGUGCGAGGGCUGUCGCUGACCCUCAAAGGUCGUGCACGCCUGAGUGCUCUCACACAAUCCAUCUCACCUUUGUGCAUCACCGCGUGGGUCCCCCUUUGCGGGGAGGGCUUGCGUUUUCACAUCAAACUUGAUACAGUGUAGAAUGUUUCAUUUGCGGUCACACGCAAUCAAUA
RNAcentral lists this unclassified non-coding RNA (186 nucleotides) under uncultured Russula. RNAcentral's name for it is "sequence contains ITS1". The record is from RNAcentral. Lineage: Eukaryota; Fungi; Basidiomycota; Agaricomycetes; Russulales; Russulaceae.